GCUUCAUCUUCCUUUCUCCUUGCAUCGGUACCUAUCUAUGAUGACCUGAGGAUACAAGUAAUUUUGAAAGCGAGUAUCAGCUAUAAAGCUGGUGAGAUCAUAAGUAUUAAUGUGCCUUAAUUUGUGAAAACUUAUAAUUUCUAAGACAUGACAUUACUUUGAAAGAAAGCUAGUAUAAGUAUGAAAAUGUUUGUAACUCAACUGUGAAUGUUUGAAAAUCCCUAGAAAUCCCUAUGAUUCCUAUUAGUAACAAAAAGGAGUCUUCUACCAAGACUUAACUGUUCUGUGUGUAGUCUUCUACCAAGACCUAACUGUUCUGAAUGUAGUCUUCUACCAAGACCUAACUGCUCUGAAUGUAGUCUUCUACCAAGACCUAACUGUUCUGAAUGUAGUCUUCUACCAAGACCUAACUGUGUUACUAUUAUUAUCAUUAUAAGAAAUUGUAUCCUUUAGUACUAGGAUACCUAAAUAUAAUUCACCUCCUUGGUUAUGUGAAUGAGUCACAAAAUAAGGUAAUAAUAUAACUAAACUGAAUAUUACCCUUUGGUACUAGGGUAACUAUCAUUGAUAACUUUAAGCCAUCCGUAGAUGUACUCUUACCUCUGUUGCUAACAGCUGGGUAUAGGAAUAGUCAAUCCCUUAAUUGCGUACCUGUAAUGGUACCAACCGUUUGACAUCCGUGGAUGUACUUUUACCUCUGUUGCUAACAGAGAUUCUAGGAAUGGUCAAUCCCUCAAUACGUAUCCUUUGGUACUAGGAUAAUAAUCCAUUCUACCUCGUCGAUUAUGUGAUUUUAUCACAAGGUAAAGGUAAGAACACGGAUUUGAUAACGGAGUCGAUACAUAUAAAAUGUAAUAGGACUCCUACUGAUAUAUCUAUGCACAAGUACUUCUAUAAGUAUAAUAAGGUAAAUAUUAUAGUAGAGUACGGUAAGGUUCAUCGUGUGCUAGCUGUAAUGUGUGCUCUCUUUAUCUAGCAAGUAUAGUAAUGUAAACGUUCUAGUAUAGAUGUAUAUGUUCUCGUCCUAGUAUAAUUGUACAUGCAUUGUAUAGUAAUGUUCUAGAAAGUAUUGACUCAUGAAUGAACUGACUCAUUGUAUGAUAUCGCGUUCUAGUAAUGGUUCUAGUAUCUUCCUGAACUACCCAUAUGGUAGCUUACUAGUAAUCUAAGUAGUACGUAUGGACGUGGAUGUAUACCCUUGCUACCCAAGGGCAUAGGAUGAACUGGAAGGACCUUUUAUGACUAUAUAUGUACACAUGAU
This 1261-nucleotide long non-coding RNA is filed under the name Lactuca sativa (garden lettuce). Its description in RNAcentral is "long non-coding RNA (LSAT_LNC008947)". The record is from RNAcentral. Lineage: Eukaryota; Viridiplantae; Streptophyta; Magnoliopsida; Asterales; Asteraceae.